GGAAAUCUCACCAGGCCCGGACACUGGAAGGAUUGACAGAUUGAUAGCUCUUCUUGAUUCGGUGGGUGAUGGUGCAUGGCCGUUCUUAGUUGGUGGAGUGAUUUGUCUGGUUAAUUCCGAUAACGAACGAGACCCCAACCUGCUAACUAGCCCUCGGGUCCUGCUUCUGUUGGGCCCGACGGAAUGAUUCGCUUCUUAGAGGGACUCGCGGCGCCUAGCCGCACGAAGGGGGGCGAUAA
RNAcentral lists this ribosomal RNA (239 nucleotides) under uncultured eukaryote. RNAcentral's name for it is "partial 18S ribosomal RNA". It matches the Rfam family "Eukaryotic small subunit ribosomal RNA", at positions 1208 to 1456 of the family's 1831-position model. The record is from RNAcentral.